UACAGAGGUCUCAAGCGUUGUUCGGAUUCAUUGGGCGUAAAGGGUGCGUAGGUGGCGCCGUAAGUCGGGUGUGAAAUCCUGAGGCUUAACCUCAGAACUGCAUUCGAUACUGCGGUGCUUGAGGACUGGAGAGGAGACUGGAAUUCAUGGUGUAGCAGUGAAAUGCGUAGAGAUCAUGAGGAAGACCAGUGGCGAAGGCGGGUCUCUGGACAGUUCCUGACACUGAGGCACGAAGGCAAGGGGAGCAAACGGG
RNAcentral lists this ribosomal RNA (253 nucleotides) under uncultured bacterium. RNAcentral describes it as "partial 16S ribosomal RNA". It matches the Rfam family "Bacterial small subunit ribosomal RNA", at positions 524 to 776 of the family's 1533-position model. The record is from RNAcentral.